UAGGGAAUCUUCGGCAAUGGGGGGAACCCUGACCGAGCAACGCCGCGUGAGUGAAGAAGGUUUUCGGAUCGUAAAGCUCUGUUGUUAAGGAAGAACGAGUGUGAGAAUGGAAAGUUCAUACUGUGACGGUACUUAACCAGAAAGGGACGGCUAACUACGUGCCAGCAGCCGCGGUAAUACGUAGGUCCCGAGCGUUGUCCGGAUUUAUUGGGCGUAAAGCGAGCGCAGGCGGUUAGAUAAGUCUGAAGUUAAAGGCAGUGGCUCAACCAUUGUAGGCUUUGGAAACUGUUUAACUUGAGUGCAGAAGGGGAGAGUGGAAUUCCAUGUGUAGCGGUUAAAUGCGUAGAUAUAUGGAGGAACACCGGUGGCGAAAGCGGCUCUCUGGUCUGUAACUGACGCUGAGGCUCGAAAGCGUGGGGAGCGAACAGG
Molecule: ribosomal RNA, 429 nt
Filed under: Bacteroidota bacterium
Lineage: Bacteria; Pseudomonadati; Bacteroidota
Description: Bacteroidetes bacterium partial 16S ribosomal RNA
Rfam family: Bacterial small subunit ribosomal RNA
Source: RNAcentral